This is a long non-coding RNA of Pogoniulus pusillus (Red-fronted tinkerbird), 709 nucleotides long. RefSeq lists it as uncharacterized. NCBI's taxonomy places the organism in Eukaryota, Metazoa, Chordata, Aves, Piciformes, Lybiidae. The transcript is spliced from 3 exons. The record is from RefSeq and is a predicted model, not a curated record.
GCCCUAUUUAAUCUGCACCAGGAGCAGCAGAAGCCCCAAGCUCUGCCCAACUGGGCGAAGGGAUCCUGCUGCCUUCAGUGAAAAGACACUGAAAUCAUGGAUCUGUGGCACACAGCAAUCCUGGGCUAGAUCUUCAAUGCAUCAGAGCUUGGUUUGCAAUAGAGAGCUGGCUGAGUCUAGUCUGGGUGACUUCUGAAGUGUGAGGGGACAGGGGAGACCCAAAUCAUCACACUCUGGUGUCAAAGUGGCAAAAGGCACAAGCUGGGACCCAACUGAAUACGAAGAGAAACUCCUUUGGUGCAAGGGCUUUGAGGGCCUGGAGCUGGCUGCCUGGAGAGAUUGUGCAGUCUCCUUCUCUGGAGGGGUUCCAGACACCCCUAGCCACCGUGAUCCUGGGAAAGCUGCUGCGAGUGCCUCUGAGCAGGGACAUUGGACUGGAUGGGCUCCAGAGGUGCCUUCCUUCUCCACCAUUCUCUAAUUCUGUGGCAUGUUGGAUAUCAUCCCAGAGAAUUCAUGCCCAAGCCACUACUCUGCAGAGUGUAAACCUCUGUGUGAUAUUGUGGCUAUGCUUCUCCCUCUCCUUGACUGCAGGGAUAGCUUGCAAGGAACUGAGCACUCCUGGCUUAAUUCCCAUACUGUAUAAACAUCUGCAGUUGGAACUCUGAGUUUUGGGCAGUCUGUGAAGUUAUAACGCUAAUAAAAUAAUUGU